This is a long non-coding RNA of Phasianus colchicus (ring-necked pheasant), 2537 nucleotides long. The record is from Ensembl. NCBI's taxonomy places the organism in Eukaryota, Metazoa, Chordata, Aves, Galliformes, Phasianidae.
UGGUGGGAGGAUAUGGGGGUCUGAGGGGGAAAUGGGGGUCCUGUGGUGGGAUAUGCGGGGUAUGGGGGGGAUAUGGGGGUGCUGGGGGAAAAAUGGGGGCAUUGAGGGGGUUUUGGAGAUCCUAAUGUAAGUCUGAAGGAUGUUGGGGUGGGUCUGGGGGUCCUGAAAGGGGUCUGGAAGUCCUGAAAUGGGUCUGGGGGACAUUGAGGGGGUUUGGGGGCACAUCUGGGCCAUUUUGGGUCCCUUCGGAUGAUAUUUAUCCCUGACUGACGACAUUUUGGGGCAAAUGUGGGCCAUUUUGAGGCUCCUGAGAUGGCGUGCAGUGAAUCCUUGACACCUUACAAUGGCUUUUUGGGGCGCUUUUGGGUAACUUCAGUGCCUAAGAACGGCUUUAUAUUACACCAAAGUCCCCUUAAUGCUCCUGGGCUGUCUUUAAAGCUACACAGACGCCCCAUUGGGCACCAUUUGAGUGUUUUUAGGGCUGACGCCGGGUGGCCCGGGAUGCCUUUGGGCCCUUUGAGGCGAUCUGGGCCUGCUCUGGUGCUCCGGACCCCCCAUUGCCGACCCCACCGUACCUCCAUUCCACGCUACGGGGCUCCUGCCGUUCCCUCCGCACCCCCGUGGAGCUUUAGCCGUCCCUUUCGGCUUGGCCGGCGCGGUUUACCAUCGUCAGACCGCGCGCCGUUCCACUCCGCUCCCCUCCCCGUCCGCCCUCAAAAUGGCGGCCGCGCCUCACGCCUCACGCGGUGGGCGUGGCCUCGCUUCGCGCUUCGCCCUCCUCCCGACCAAUCAGCGCGCGGCUCUCGGCCGUUUCCACAGCAACGCGCGUGGCCCCGCCCCCCAGCUUCGCGCCCUUCGCGCCUCUCCCCUGUCCACCAAUCAGCGCGCGGGAUUCCGCCGUCUCCACGGCGACGCGCGUAGCCCCGCCCCCUCGUGCCCUUCGCGCCUCUCCCCUCCCUCCGCCAAUCAGCGCGCGGGGUUCCGCCGUCUCCAUGGCGACGCGCUGGCCCCGCCCCCCUCCCUCAGUCACUGCGCCCCAGGGGCGCUCGGUGCGCGGUCGGCUCCGCUCGGUUCGUUCCCCGUUGGGCGGCGUUCCGCUCCCCGCCGCCGGUCCCCCGUCGCUCCCCGCCGCCCAGCGGCGCGCCGAUCCGCGGUAACAGCGGGGAAAGAAGGGGGGGGAGGGGGCGGUCCCGCUCGGCGCCCACCCUCCCCCUCCCCCUCUCUCAUAGGGUACAAUGGUUCGGCCCGAGGGGGGGGGCGGGGCGCGGCCGCCAUUUUGCGCGCGGCGGCGGCGGCGGCGGAGGAGCGGAGCGGGAGGAGGAAGGGAACGGUGGGGGGGGGGAGGUGGGGAGGUGACGGGCGAGCGGCGCGGCCAAUCGGAGCGCGGCGGGGGCGGGGCCUGAGCCAAUCGGAGCGCGGCGUGGGGCGCGGAGCCCCGCCCAUCCCGGCCCGGCGGCCGCCAUGGACGCGGGAGGAUGGAGCAGCUUCAUCUUCCAGCCGGCCCCGCCCCCCGCGGUGGCCCCGCCCCCCGACGCCCUCCCCCCAUCGGAGCUGCUCCCCCCGCUGCUUCCCGACCCCUCCCCCGCCACCGCCGCCGCUUCCACCGUCGAUCCGGGAGCUUUAAAACCCGCUCCUCCCCUACCGGAAGCACCCGUUGCUCCACCGGAAGUCCCCCUUUCUCAAGCGCCGGAAGCGACCCCUCCGACCCGGAAGUCCAAAAGCAAAGGGCCGUACGUCUGCGCUCAGUGCGCCAAGGAAUUCAAGAACGGUUACAACCUGCGGCGCCACCAGGCCACGCACGGCGCCAGACCUCCCGCCCUCAUGGGGGCGCUGUCGCAAGGCUCCAACGCCGCCGCAUCCGCCGCCGUCUCGUUGCUCCCGGACGGCAGCGCCGCUUCCAGUCCUCCCAUCCUCAUGGGGGCGCUGUCGGACGGCACGACCGGAAGCGGCGCCGGAAGUGCCCGCAAAAGGAAGAGCCACGCUUGCGAAGCUUGCGGGAAAGCUUUCCGUGACGUUUAUCACCUGCGGAGGCACCGUUUGGCCCAUUCGGACGAGCGGCCGUUCCAGUGCCCCGUGUGUCAGCAGCGAUUCAAGCGGAAGGACCGCAUGGGGCACCACCUGCGCGGACAUCAGGGCGCCGUGCACCGCCCCUACGCCUGUGCGCACUGCCCCAAGGCCUUCUCGCGGUCAGUCUCUAUGAUCCCUGCCCUCUUUUGGCCGCUCUGACACUCAGUCUCUAUGAUCCCUGCCCCCUUUUUGCCCUUCUGGCACUCAGUCUCUAUGAUCCCUGCCCUCUUUUGGCCGCUCUGUCACUCGGUCUCUAUGAUCUCUGCCCUCCUUUGUCUCUUUCACACUCAGUCUCUAUGAUCCCUGUCCUCUUUUGGCCGUUCUGGCGCUCGGUCUCUAUGAUCCCUGCCCUCCUUUGUCCCUUUCACACACAGUCUCUAUGAUCCCUGCCCUCUUUUGGCCCCUCUGGCACUCAGUCUCUAUGAUCCCUGCCCUCUUUUGGCUUUUCUCACAUUCAGUCUCUAUGAUCC